CCCUUUACAUGGAACAUAAGCCUAGGUUAUCACCUCAGUGAAAAGCCACUGUUCCCUUCAAGGUACAAUUAUGUACUUUAUGAAUGUUUCAUACACAAUAUAAUCAUGUAGGAGAGUACAUUUUAAGCCUUAAGGAGAGGCGAUGCGUACAGUACAUGCAGCAUUUAUUUACAAGAUCAUGAAAGCCUAAGACUUUCAUAAGCUAUGAAACAUUUCUUAGUAUAAUUUUUCAGCACACUUUUAAUAUAAAAGUGUAAAGGUGUAUUAAUGUGUACAAACUUUUCUUUCAGUGUCCUAACACUGCAAAAACGCUAAAUAUUACCUACUGAACUUACCUCAUUUUUAAUGAAAACUCAUACUGUACUUAUUUUAGUGACAGAAUGUCUUGUUUUAAGUUUUUUUUUUUUUUUUAAAUCUGCCAGUGGAACAAGUAUAAACUGAUAAACUAAUAUUCUUAAAAUAAGAUCAAGAUCAGAAAUCAGUUCCAUUACAUCACUAUUCAGGAUUUGUUUUGGGGGGUUGUGUUUUUAAGACAACAGAAUUCACAUUUCUUUGUGUUUCACACAUAUGAAGAUCUGCAUUUUUUUAAAAAUUAUAUUGUGGUUAUAAAUAUUUGCAGAAUAGAACAAAAUAUAACAAAUGAUGGGAAAUGUGUGUCAUCUGCAAUUUCCUUUUAAGAGGAUAUUUUCCUUCAGUCAGUAUCACUUGGAAUGUGUGGAAAAUGAACAUGCGGUUAUGAAGAAUCAACAAUGACAUCCAACCUAAAUUAUACGCUCCCUGGACGCUUCAUUCGCUACAGCUGCAUCUGAUGAGCUCCAUUAUGAGAGCUGUCUCAAAAACCUGCAUCUUACUGAGACAUUUCUAUGCAAUGCAGCUGUACAAAACUGCAAACUACAAUUAUAAUACAAUGAUAUAAUUAUAAUUAUAAGAUAUGUUUGAAUCAAUACCUCUCUGAUACUGGUGAGGCCAUAUGUUUUGGAAUGUAGUAUCUGAUUGGGCUAAGCUACAGUGCUAAGCCAUGCUUUUCGUUGUCCGUGUUAGUGUCUGCCAAAGGUUUCAGUCAUCUCCUCCGCUGGCAUCAGCGUUCAACCACACUGCUGCUUAAUUUUGGGCUUCUCAUGUGGCUUCUGUGUGUGUGCUUGCACAAUCAUCUCGUCCUCCUCCUUUGAGCUGCACUCCAAGUUGUGCUGCUGGUUUAAACAUUCGUCCACAUCUGGAAGACAAAACAGAAGAGGCAUAUCCUUUCUGCUGGGAAAUGGUGAGGUCAUUCAUUCCAAAGCCAAACCUUUUGCUCAAAAGAAUUGGUCACGAGGAGAAUCUAAGCGUUUGGAAGCUUUGCACUGUUGUAAAUCACAGCUCCGCCCAUCUGGGAGCAACUUGUAGCCACUGGGGCAGGAGCAGUGGUAUGAGCCUGGGACGUUGACACAUUCAUGGAUGCAUAACGUCCCUCCCUGGUCCAGACGGUAGACUUCACACUCGUUGACAUCUGUGAAAAACAGGAAAAGGCAGGCAUCUCAGGACCAUGCAGGGCUGCUGUACACAGGACCACAGGAAUAUAAUAUUUAGGAUGGAGGAAAUUCGCCAUAUUAAAAUCACAUUCUGGAACAAACAUAAAAUGAGACUGUUUCUGACAACCUGGGUUGCCUGGGUAUUAUGUGUAGAAAUUGUAUUUCGUUGAAAUGGUGAUGAAGGGCUAUGAUCUCCCAAAUACUUUUACAUUAUGUGAUAAUAUAACAGAUUGCUGUAAUCAAUCUUAAAUGCCAAAUUCAGUUGAGGAAUAAUGCAUGUAAAUACGGGACAGCGUAUCAUAGCAUGUGAGCAAUAUAGAGCAGUGAUUCUCAACCAGUGUGCCGGCGGGCACAUUAGUGUGCUGUGAGCGCUCUUCAGGUGUGCUGUGGGAAAUUAUUAAAUGUUACUUAAUUGCUCAAAAAAUUAUUUAUUUACAAGGAAUAAUGUAUCUUUGUUCAUCUAUUUAUGUCAUGGAGUCAUAGUGACAGACAGAACAAAUAAAUGCUCUUCUAUUAGAUGGCAGGAAGUACAUACAGUAAUUAAUGUAUACACAUUUUUGUUUGUUGGUGUGCCGUGAGAUUUUUUAAAUUGUAAAAUAUGCGCCUUGGCUCCAUAAAGGUUGGAAAUCAGUGGUAUAAGGAUGGCGUAUGAGCAUUCUGAUUGGAUAAUUAGUAAGUGCUCGGAUGUUCCAAAUAAAACAUCAUUACUGCAUCACUGAAUGCAUGUGCAACAUGCUACACUUAUCACAAUCCUGUUUUAAGUGCUUUAACCAUAUACAUACUGGGGAUGGGUCGGUAUCUGAUAAAAGCGCAUACCAUAUGGUAUGCUCUGCACAGGACAAUGCAACAUUAUGGCGCGUGGCUUUCGGUUUUGGACUUCACUUUGCGUUGACGUGUUCACCUUGUGAACAAGUCCAGGUCACGGACGUAAAACCACUAGCACGAGCACAGGAUUUGAGACGAAAAUGUGAAUCUCCUGUGUGGAUUAAUUUCGGUUUGACCGUUGAAUACAGUAACAAGGGAAUAAACACUGUAAACAGACAUUUUACUGUCUGAAAACAUUGUUUGAAACAUGUCCCAUACUUUUUAAGGAAACACGAGCAAUAUGACCAAGCUUCUCCUGUGUUCAUAUUCUGGCAUAACGCUUGGUGUACACACGACAGUUGAGCGACUCGAAAAGGUAACAAAACACCAGCAAAACAGAAAGUGACUAUAGAAUACUUUUGAGCAGCCAUAUCAUGCCACUUAAGAUAAACACAAGAAAAUAACCCGUGCAGUGGGAGAAUUUAAUGCUAAAGAUU
Phyllopteryx taeniolatus (common seadragon) is the source of this 2809-nucleotide long non-coding RNA. RefSeq lists it as uncharacterized. The transcript has 5 exons. The record is from RefSeq and is a predicted model, not a curated record. Lineage: Eukaryota; Metazoa; Chordata; Actinopteri; Syngnathiformes; Syngnathidae.